RNAcentral lists this ribosomal RNA (253 nucleotides) under uncultured bacterium. RNAcentral's name for it is "partial 16S ribosomal RNA". It matches the Rfam family "Bacterial small subunit ribosomal RNA", at positions 524 to 776 of the family's 1533-position model. The record is from RNAcentral.
UACGGAGGGUGCAAGCGUUAUCCGGAUUUACUGGGUUUAAAGGGUGUGUAGGCGGAUUAUUAAGUCAGCGGUGAAAUCUCCGAGCUCAACUCGGAAACUGCCAUUGAUACUAUUAGUCUUGAAUAUUGUUGAGGUGGGCGGAACGGGUCAUGUAGCGGUGAAAUGCAUAGAUAUGACCCGGAACACCGAUUGCGAAGGCAGCCCACUAAGCAAUGAUUGACGCUGAGGCACGAAAGCGUGGGGAUCAAACAGG